UUGGGAAUAUUGCACAAUGGGGGGAAACCCGUGAUGCAGCGACGCCGCGUGAGCGAAGAAGUAUUUCGGUAUGUAAAGCUCUAUCAGCAGGGAAGAAAAAAAUGACGGUACCUGAGUAAGAAGCACCGGCUAAAUACGUGCC
RNAcentral lists this ribosomal RNA (142 nucleotides) under uncultured bacterium. RNAcentral describes it as "partial 16S ribosomal RNA". It matches the Rfam family "Bacterial small subunit ribosomal RNA", at positions 355 to 509 of the family's 1533-position model. The record is from RNAcentral.